Molecule: small RNA, 1030 nt
Filed under: Pongo abelii (Sumatran orangutan)
Lineage: Eukaryota; Metazoa; Chordata; Mammalia; Primates; Hominidae
Description: retained intron
Source: RNAcentral
GGACCUGACACCUGCCCAGCUCACACGAAGGAUUCAGAGCCUUAAAAAGAAGAUCCGGAAGUUUGAAGAUAGAUUCGAAGAAGAGAAGAAGUACAGACCUUCCCACAGUGACAAAGCAGCCAAUCCAGAGGUUCUGAAAUGGACAAAUGACCUUGCCAAAUUCCGGAGACAACUUAAAGAAUCAAAACUAAAGAUAUCUGAAGAGGACCUAACUCCCAGGAUGCGGCAGCGAAGCAACACACUCCCCAAGAGUUUUGGUUCCCAACUUGAGAAAGAAGAUGAGAAGAAGCAAGAGCUGGUGGAUAAAGCAAUAAAGCCCAGUGUUGAAGCCACAUUGGAAUCUAUUCAGAGGAAGCUCCAGGAGAAGCGAGCGGAAGGCAGCCGCCCUGAGGACAUUAAGGAUAUGACCAAAGACCAGAUUGCUAAUGAGAAAGUGGCUCUGCAGAAGGCUCUGUUAUAUUAUGAAAGCAUUCAUGGACGGCCGGUAACAAAGAACGAACGGCAGGUGAUGAAGCCACUAUAUGACAGGUACCGGCUGGUCAAACAGAUCCUGUCCCGAGCUAACACCAUACCCAUCAUUGGUUCCCCCUCCAGCAAGCGGAGAAGCCCUUUGCUGCAGCCAAUUAUCGAGGGCGAAACUGCUUCCUUCUUCAAGGAGAUAAAGGAAGAAGAGGAAGGGUCAGAAGAUGAUAGCAAUGUGAAGCCAGACUUCAUGGUCACUCUGAAAACCGAUUUCAGUGCACGAUGCUUUCUGGACCAAUUCGAAGAUGAUGCUGAUGGGUUUAUUUCCCCAAUGGAUGAUAAAAUACCAUCAAAAUGCAGCCAGGACACAGGACUUUCAAAUCUCCAUGCUGCCUCAAUGUAUGUCAUUUUGGUGGUGGUGGUGAAAUGUUUUGGUAAAAAUAGCUCUCUUAAAUAUUAUCUUAGCCUUUGUAUCUAAAUAAAUUAGCUGAUAAAAUACAAGUGACUACCUGGGGUAUAUCUGGAUAAAACAGUGAUUUUUUUUUUAAUUUCUUUUUUUAUAUGCUUC